GCCGGCGUAGCUCAGUUGGUAGAGCGCUUCACUUGUAAUGAAGAUGUCGGGGGUUCGACUCCUCUCGCCGGCUCCA
This 76-nucleotide transfer RNA is filed under the name Amylibacter sp. Its description in RNAcentral is "tRNA-Thr". It matches the Rfam family "tRNA". Rfam says of the family: Transfer RNA (tRNA) molecules are approximately 80 nucleotides in length. Their secondary structure includes four short double-helical elements and three loops (D, anti-codon, and T loops). The record is from RNAcentral. RNAcentral also lists the same sequence under 6 other names. Lineage: Bacteria; Pseudomonadati; Pseudomonadota; Alphaproteobacteria; Rhodobacterales; Paracoccaceae.